UACGGAGGGGGCUAGCGUUGUUCGGAAUUACUGGGCGUAAAGCGCACGUAGGCGGCUUUGUAAGUCAGAGGUGAAAUCCCAGUGCUCAACACUGGAACUGCCUUUGAGACUGCAUCGCUUGAAUCCAGGAGAGGUGAGUGGAAUUCCGAGUGUAGAGGUGAAAUUCGUAGAUAUUGGGAAGAACACCGAUGGCGAAGGCAGCCAUCUGGACCGACACUGACGCUGAGGCGCGAAAGCGUGGGGAGCAAACAGG
Molecule: ribosomal RNA, 253 nt
Filed under: uncultured bacterium
Lineage: Bacteria
Description: partial 16S ribosomal RNA
Rfam family: Bacterial small subunit ribosomal RNA
Source: RNAcentral